AAACACUUGGCCACCUGAGAAGUAUAAUGAGAUCUUUCCAUCCUUGCAGCCUUUUUCCAGAAACCUUGAAACACAGAAUGGAUGUAGUGACUGGAUAUAGAAAAAUGUAGCGACCAGGAAGAAUAACCAUCUAACCUUUUAAUGAAAAUUUCAAGAAAGCCUACAAAAACAUCGAGACUUCUCUUACAAUGAAAAAGCGUCAUAAAGAACCCACAGGCGAUCUGAAACAGGUGUGGACUUUCAGAUGUAAAUACAAUAAAGAGAAAAUAGCAACGAGAAGAGAACAAAGUUGUCUGUCAACAUGACUUCUAUGACAGAUUUUUCUUGCUGUUCAGCAACGAUUCUAAUUCAAUUGCUGGCUGCUGUGAAGGAGAUGAGAUGCCAGAAGCAGAAGCGCUGCAAACCAGAACAAAAAAUAAUUACUAGUAGAAAUGUGCUGCAAAUAACUCCCUUGA
This is a long non-coding RNA of Hirundo rustica (Barn swallow), 455 nucleotides long. RefSeq lists it as uncharacterized. Lineage: Eukaryota; Metazoa; Chordata; Aves; Passeriformes; Hirundinidae. The record is from RefSeq and is a predicted model, not a curated record. The transcript has 3 exons.